This 416-nucleotide ribosomal RNA is filed under the name uncultured bacterium. RNAcentral's name for it is "partial 16S ribosomal RNA". It matches the Rfam family "Bacterial small subunit ribosomal RNA", at positions 355 to 762 of the family's 1533-position model. The record is from RNAcentral.
UGGGGAAUCUUCCGCAAUGGACGAAAGUCUGACGGAGCAACGCCGCGUGAGUGAAGAAGGUUUUCGGAUCGUAAAACUCUGUCUUUUGGGGCGAACGUGAGUAUGGUGAACAAUCAUAGUCAGUGACGGUACCAAAGGAGGAAGCCACGGCUAACUACGUGCCAGCAGCCGCGGUAAUACGUAGGUGGCAAGCGUUGUCCGGAAUUAUUGGGCGUAAAGAGCGCGUAGGCGGGAUAGUCAGUCUGUUGUAAAGUGCGGGGCUCAACCCCGUGAUGGCAAUGGAAACAGCUAUUCUUGAGUGCAGGAGAGGAAAGUGGAAUUCCCAGCUGUAGCGGUGAAAUGCGUAGAUAUUGGGAGGAACACCAGUGGCGAAGGCGACUUUCUGGACUGUGUCUGACGCUGAGGCGCGAAAGCCA